RNAcentral lists this ribosomal RNA (420 nucleotides) under uncultured bacterium. RNAcentral describes it as "bacterial SSU rRNA". It matches the Rfam family "Bacterial small subunit ribosomal RNA", at positions 355 to 774 of the family's 1533-position model. The record is from RNAcentral.
UGAGGAAUAUUGGGCAAUGCCCGCAAGGGUGACCCAGCAACGCCGCGUGGAGGAUGAAUGUCGUAAGAUUGUAAACUCCUGUUAGAGGGGAAGAAUAGUACCGGUUGGACCGGUAUAUGACUGUACCCUCAGAGAAAGCCCCGGCUAACUACGUGCCAGCAGCCGCGGUAAUACGUAGGGGGCAAGCGUUGUCCGGAUUUACUGGGUGUAAAGGGCGCGCAGGCGGGAUAAAAAGUCAGUGGUGAAAUCCUACAGCUUAACUGUAGAACUGCCUUUGAUACUUUUAUUCUUGAGUUCGGGAGAGAGACGGAAUUCCAGGUGUAGUGGUGAAAUACGUAGAUAUGUCAUAGAACACCGAUUGCGAAGGCAGCUAACGAAACUAUAACUGACGCUGAGGCACGAAAGUGCGGGGAUCAAACA